UGUAAGGCUGUAAUGUAACAUAAUGUGGAAAAAGUCAAGGGGUCAGAAUCCUUUCUGAAUGUACUGUAUAUGAUCUAUAGUUAUUCAAUGAAGAUGAUGUUUGAAAAACACUGCAAGAAAAAACACAAAAAUUGUGUAAAUUAAUGUCUUUAAGGUAUGGUGAUCAUGUCUUUAAGGUACGGAAAUCAUGUCUUUAAGGUACAGUGAUCAUGUCUUUAAGGUACGGUGAUCAUGUCUUUAAGGUACGGUGAUCAUGUCUUUAAGGUACGGUGAUCAUGUCUUUAAGGUAUCGGUGAUCAUGUCUUUAGGUACGGUGAUCAUGUCUUUAAGGUACGGUGAUCAUGUCUUUAAGGUACGGUGAUCAUGUCUUUAAGGUACGGUGAUCAUGUCUUUAAGGUACGGUGAUCAUGUCUUUAAGGUACGGUGAUCAUGUCUUUAAGGUACGGUGAUCAUGUCUUUAAGGUACGGUGAUCAUGUCUUUAAGGUACGGUGAUCAUGUCUUUAAGGUACG
Long non-coding RNA from Oncorhynchus tshawytscha (Chinook salmon), 511 nucleotides. The record is from Ensembl. NCBI's taxonomy places the organism in Eukaryota, Metazoa, Chordata, Actinopteri, Salmoniformes, Salmonidae.